AUUGAACGCUGGCGGCAGGCUUAACACAUGCAAGUCGAGCGGGGGAAGGUAGCUUGCUACCGGACCUAGCGGCGGACGGGUGAGUAAUGCUUAGGAAUCUGCCUAUUAGUGGGGGACAACAUCUCGAAAGGGAUGCUAAUACCGCAUACGUCCUACGGGAGAAAGCAGGGGAUCUUCGGACCUUGCGCGAAUAGAUGAGCCUAGGUCGGAUUAGCUAGUUGGUGGGGUAAAGGCCUACCAAGGCGACGAUCUGUAGCGGGUCUGAGAGGAUGAUCCGCCACACUGGGACUGAGACACGGCCCAGACUCCUACGGGAGGCAGCGGUGGGGAAUAUUGGACAAUGGGGGGAACCCUGAUCCAGCCAUGCCGCGUGUGUGAAGAAGGCCUUAUGGUUGUAAAGCACUUUAAGCGAGGAGGAGGCUACUCUAGUUAAUACCUAGGGAUAGUGGACGUUACUCGCAGAAUAAGCACCGGCUAACUCUGUGCCAGCCGCCGCAGUAA
This 501-nucleotide ribosomal RNA is filed under the name uncultured bacterium. Its description in RNAcentral is "partial 16S ribosomal RNA". It matches the Rfam family "Bacterial small subunit ribosomal RNA", at positions 30 to 523 of the family's 1533-position model. The record is from RNAcentral.